GAUGAAGACGCAGCGAAAUGCGAUAAGUAGUGUGAAUUGCAGAAUUCAGUGAAUCAUCGAAUCUUUGAACGCACAUUGCGCCCCUUGGUAUUCCAUGGGGCAUGCCUGUUCGAGCGUCAUUUGUACCUUCAAGCUUUGCUUGGUGUUGGGUGUUUGUCCCUCGGGACUCGCCUUAAAGUCAUUGGCAGCCAGUGUUUUGGUUUUGAAGCGCAGCACAAGUCGCGAUUCAAGGCUAUCCGCCCGCUUCCACAAGCCUUUUUCACUUUUGACCUCGGAUCAGGUAGGGAUACCCGCUGAACUUAAGCAUAUCAAUAAGCGGAGGA
RNAcentral lists this unclassified non-coding RNA (323 nucleotides) under soil metagenome. Its description in RNAcentral is "partial contains 5.8S ribosomal RNA, internal transcribed spacer 2, and large subunit ribosomal RNA". The stretch from base 1 to 119 matches the Rfam family "5.8S ribosomal RNA", at positions 35 to 154 of the family's 154-position model. The record is from RNAcentral.